GCAUCGAUGAAGAACGCAGCGAAAUGCGAUAAGUAAUGUGAAUUGCAGAAUUCAGUGAAUCAUCGAAUCUUUGAACGCACAUUGCGCCCCUUGGUAUUCCGAGGGGCAUGCCCGUUCGAGCGUCAUUAUAACCCCUCAAGCCCAGCUUGGCGUUGGGGCCUGCUGUUGCCGGCAGCCCUUAAAAUCAGUGGCGGUGCCAUCUGGCUCUAAGCGUAGUAAUACUUCUCGCUACAGAGUCCUGGUGGAUGCUUGCCAUCAACCCCUAAAUUUCUAUGGUUGACCUCGGAUCGGGUAGGGAUACCCGCUGAACUUAAGCAUAUCAAUAAGCGGAGGA
RNAcentral lists this unclassified non-coding RNA (334 nucleotides) under uncultured bacterium. RNAcentral's name for it is "contains 16S-23S intergenic spacer region". The stretch from base 1 to 125 matches the Rfam family "5.8S ribosomal RNA", at positions 30 to 154 of the family's 154-position model. The record is from RNAcentral.